CACCCGUUCUCCCAUUUUAGAAGCUUCUCCUUCAAUUUUUCAUCUCAGAAUCAGAAAAAUCAGAAAAUAAGAAAUGCCAAUGGAGAAGAUCAGAGACGUAACAAUACAGAGAGAAGUAACCGCAAAUUUUUCGAACCAAUUUUUCACUUCUCUUCGUCUAACUUUUUUACCUAAAGCUAGACUAUGAAGGCUUGCAAUUGAAAUGCGCUUUAUUUCUGAGUUAACUGUUGCUCGAUGAAGAACACUUUUGUAUCUACCAUUGCUCAAUACUUCCAUUUGAUCUCCCAAUUGAACAAUGAGAGCCCCUUCAAUGAGUGGAACUGAAUGCCACUUUUCAUCUCGAUCCAUGGUUUGUAAGCCCAGAUGGUUUUGAAGAAUGAUCGUUAGCAUACCGUAAUCUGUAUGUGGUGGCAAUCCUAGAGUAAGAUCUGGCUCAGGACAUGCUGGAUAGCAAUUGACUGCCAUGACCUGGGAACCUUCUGUAAUGUCUUCAUUAUGCAGUUGCAGGGUGACAUGGACACGACACGAAACUGCAUGACAAGUAGUACCUGGAAGAAACCAAAUUUCUUGCAAGCCAGGUGUACUUCCUGAAUUAUCUGAGAUCGAAGAUGAGGGUAUUGCAGAUAAGAUAGAUCCACAAUUGGCAAGGUACAAUUGGGCCGUAAGGAUGGUGGAAGGAUAUAACGCUUGGGAACACAGGUUAGUUCCUCUUCAGUAAGUGUCAUGGCACUAGUAAAUGAACCAUUUGGUGAAGCUGAACUUUCCAUUAUUUUUCCCAUGCCUUAUUGUGUUAUUCUUCCUGUAUGUUCCAUAUGACUUUUAAUCCCUCCCUAUUUAUAAGGAGGAAAAUAUGAAGAUAUGGUUGGAGCUUUUAAUUAUUUAUCGAGAUAUAUGUAAUGAAUAUAUAUGCGUAUAAUGCUAUGGAUAGGACUAUAACUAUAUUGUAUAUAGUCAUACAUGAAUAGCCAAAGUGUGAAAUAUUUCAGGCUUGGUAAUUGUCGGUCUCCAUGUUGAAUCCGAUAGUGCAACUAUGUUCAGAUUCAACUGGGUGUGACUCCACGCGCCAUGAGAGAGACUGGUGAUCUAAUUUUACGCGCGUACGUAGGCACUCUGGAUUUUGGAACAUUAUUCUUUUUUACUUUAGUUUCCUAUCUGGGAAGUAAUUAACUCGCUGCCUAUUUGUUCAGUGCUACUCUUGUGUUUAGGGGUGUCAAUAAGACGAUUUGGUUGAUUAUUUUUAAAAAAUUAUAUGAUAUCAAUUGUUUAAAUA
Solanum lycopersicum (tomato) is the source of this 1270-nucleotide long non-coding RNA. RefSeq lists it as uncharacterized. The record is from RefSeq and is a predicted model, not a curated record. Lineage: Eukaryota; Viridiplantae; Streptophyta; Magnoliopsida; Solanales; Solanaceae.